Molecule: ribosomal RNA, 254 nt
Filed under: uncultured bacterium
Lineage: Bacteria
Description: partial 16S ribosomal RNA
Rfam family: Bacterial small subunit ribosomal RNA
Source: RNAcentral
UACGGGGGGAGCAAGCGUUGUUCGGAUUUACUGGGCGUAAAGGGCGCGUAGGCGGCCAGCACAAGUCAGUUGUGAAAUCUCCGAGCUUAACUCGGAAAGGUCAACUGAUACUGUGCGGCUAGAGUGCGGAAGGGGCAACUGGAAUUCUUGGUGUAGCGGUGAAAUGCGUAGAUAUCAAGAGGAACACCUGCGGCGAAGGCGGGUUGCUGGGCCGACACUGACACUGAGAGACGAAAGCUAGGGGAGCGAAUGGG